UAAUGCCAAUGACUUGUCAAGUACAGCAUCGUCUAAAUAUAAAGAUAUUCUAUUUUUAAAAUUUUUUAAUGGCCAAGAAAAGGAUAUUGGAGUGACGUACAACUCCAAGGUCUUCUCACUAAUAAAUCAGCUUGUACUUAACGGCCUCUUUGAGCCCUCAACUGAAAUCUUAUUGGGAACUUCUUACUGGUUGAGUCAAGAGCUUAUAAAUUUAAGACCCUAAGGUUUCUGCUGCUACUUCUGCUUUACUUUAUGCUUUUUGAAGUACAAGGAAUUUUGAAAAGAGAAUAUCUAAAGCACUGCGAGGGAGAAUGUCGUCUACUUGGUCUCAAAACUAGUUCUCCAUUGCUUCAGAUCGGUAGUUAUAACUUCACGGGUGUAUAUAAGCACACAGUAGGCACUGAUCUCUAUUUCGACUGUCUGCAAGUAGAUGAAAACACUCCACUAGAACUUAUAGCCAAAGGGACUAAAAGAAUUUAUUUUACCCCAGUUUCACUUAAAAGAACUGAAAAUUAAACCCAAAUAUAAAUUUUGUAUA
Zophobas morio is the source of this 538-nucleotide long non-coding RNA. RefSeq lists it as uncharacterized. The record is from RefSeq and is a predicted model, not a curated record. The transcript has 4 exons. Lineage: Eukaryota; Metazoa; Arthropoda; Insecta; Coleoptera; Tenebrionidae.